This 744-nucleotide ribosomal RNA is filed under the name Coelocarteria sp. a CVL-2021. Its description in RNAcentral is "partial large subunit ribosomal RNA". The stretch from base 189 to 744 matches the Rfam family "Eukaryotic large subunit ribosomal RNA", at positions 665 to 1229 of the family's 3401-position model. Lineage: Eukaryota; Metazoa; Porifera; Demospongiae; Poecilosclerida; Isodictyidae. The record is from RNAcentral.
GCGCGGCACCGGGCCCGGCUGUGCACUUCUGCGGGGAGCCGGCCAACGGCGGGGGCAGGUGGCUCCGCGUCGCAGAACUUACAGCCCUGCGACGUGGGCGACUGAGGAGAGCUUCGCACGUGGGCUGGGCCGGCACCUCGCGCCGCGGUCGUUGGCGCCCGAAUGGCGGCAUCCGACCCGUCACACGGACCAAGGAGUGCAUCGGGCACGCGAGUCCCGGGGUGGCAAACCGGCGCAAUGAAGGUGAAGGGCGAGAGCCCCCCCGGCACAUCGUCGACCGAUCCCGGGCCACGCCGUGGCGGGAUUUGAGUGAGAGCGCGUCCGAUGCGACCCGAAAGAUGGUGAACUAUGCCUGAAUAGGGCGAAGCCAGAGGAAACUCUGGUGGAGGCCCGCAGCGAUUCUGACGUGCAAAUCGAUCGUCUAAUUUGGGUAUAGGGGCGAAAGACUAAUCGAACCGUCUAGUAGCUGGUUCCCUCCGAAGUUUCCCUCAGGAUAGCUGGAGCCCGGUGCAGUUUUAUCAGGUAAAGCGAAUGAUUAGAGGUCUUGGGGCUGAAACAGCCUCAACCUAUUCUCAAACUUUAAAUGGGUAAGAAGCCCGGCUUGCUCGUCUGAAGUCGGGCGCAGAAUGCCGGGGCUCCCAGUGGGCCAUUUUUGGUAAGCAGAACUGGCGAUGCGGGAUGAACCGAAUGCCGGGUUAAGGUGCCCGAAUCGACGCUCAUCAGAUCCCAUGAAAGGUGUUGGUU